GGCCAACACAAACAUCCACAGCACCAAACACCCAACGUAGAACCUAGACCCAAGCAUAACACAAGACAACAAAUACAUAUACACAUCAGAUCUGUCGGAUCGCAUUACCCCAUUCAGCUAGCGUACUGUGACUAUGACCUAUAUACCUAAAAAUAUGAAUCACUAUGCGCAUGCAGCCAUGAAUCUGAUCAACAUGGAUUCGGAGAAUCGGGUAGUGCUCAAUGUGGGCGGCAUUCGGCAUGAAACGUACAAGGCGACACUGAAGAAGAUUCCAGCCACGCGUCUAUCACGUCUGACCGAGGCGCUGGCCAACUACGAUCCCAUACUGAACGAGUACUUCUUCGACAGGCAUCCAGGUGUAUUCGCACAAGUGCUCAACUACUACAGAACUGGCAAGCUGCAUUAUCCUACAGAUGUGUGCGGUCCGCUGUUCGAGGAGGAAUUGGAAUUUUGGGGUCUCGACUCGAAUCAGGUGGAGCCCUGCUGCUGGAUGACCUAUACACAGCAUCGUGACACACAAGAAACCCUAGCCGUACUCGAUCGCUUAGAUCUGGAUACGGAAAAACCGUCCGAAGAGGAAUUGGCACGCAAAUUUGGCUUCGAGGAGGAUUAUUACAAAGGCACCAUCACCUGGUGGCAGGAAAUGAAGCCGCGCAUUUGGUCGCUAUUCGACGAGCCAUACAGUUCAAAUGCCGCCAAGACCAUUGGCGUCGUCUCGGUGUUCUUCAUAUGCAUUUCGAUAUUGUCCUUCUGUCUGAAAACCCAUCCGGAUAUGCGUGUGCCCAUCGUGCACAAUGUCACAGUGAAGACGGCGAAUGGCAGCGCCGCCUGGUUCCUGGACAAGUCAAUGACCAAUGCGCACAUUGCCUUCUUCUACAUAGAAUGCGUUUGCAAUGCCUGGUUUACGUUCGAGAUAUUGGUUCGCUUCAUCUCGUCGCCGAACAAGUGUGAAUUCUUAAAGUCAUCUGUUAACAUCAUAGAUUAUAUAGCGACGCUUAGUUUUUAUAUUGAUCUAGUGCUUCAGCGAUUCGCAUCGCAUCUGGAGAACGCUGACAUACUCGAGUUCUUCUCGAUUAUACGCAUCAUGCGUCUGUUCAAGCUGACCCGCCAUUCGUCCGGCCUGAAAAUCCUGAUACAGACGUUCCGCGCCUCCGCCAAGGAGCUAACACUUCUGGUAUUCUUCCUGGUGCUGGGCAUUGUGAUCUUUGCCAGUCUCGUCUAUUAUGCCGAGCGCAUACAGCCCAAUCCGCACAACGACUUCAAUAGCAUACCGCUGGGCCUGUGGUGGGCACUGGUCACCAUGACUACCGUUGGCUACGGCGACAUGGCGCCCAAGACCUACAUUGGCAUGUUUGUCGGCGCCCUCUGCGCUCUGGCCGGUGUGCUAACCAUUGCACUGCCAGUGCCCGUCAUUGUUAGCAACUUCGCCAUGUACUAUUCGCAUACGCAGGCGCGAGCCAAACUGCCAAAGAAGCGUAGACGAGUGCUUCCCGUCGAACAGCCGCGACAGGCCCGACUGCCAGGUGAGCGCGCCCCAGGCGGCGUCAGUGGCUGUGGCACUCCAGGCUCUGGCCCACACUCCGGCCCCAUGGGCUCCGGGGGCACUGGACCCCGUCGCAUGAACAAUAAAACCAAGGAUCUGGUCAGCCCCAAGUCAGAUGAAUAUACUACAAUGAUUGGCAAACCACGUGAUGGCAAAAAGAGCAGGCUGCUCUGAGCCUUAAGCAAAGAAUCACGAACACGACAACAACAACAACAGCAACAACAACAUGAACUCUGAACCACCCCGAGAAAACUCGAAUGAAAUUUUCAAAUGCAAAGAGCAAUUGUGUACUGAACAAUGGACCAUAUCUAUGAAGCUACUGUUGAUCACAUCAUUGAGAAUGAAUAUUUAAAUUAUCACAAAAUAUAUAGAAAAAAAAGAAACAAUGCACAUGAAAUCGAAAAGGAACCGCUGGAUUGAGAUACGAAUCGUGGUACGUUGGCCUCACACCAAGGACCUCCUCUAUAUGAUACAGGCGGUGGCGUCUGGUACUCUACUACUAUUGCUGUUCCUACUGCUACUGCUACUACUCUGCUCCUAUAACUUCUACAACUUGCUAUAUAGUCGUAUAUAUAUAUGCUCUAUAUAAGCCUACAAUAUUUGCUCAACUCUUCACAGGUCCCCUGGGCGCCAGCAUCGUUGCGAUGAGUCCACGCACCAUGCUAGACUUGAAUCCGGC
RNAcentral lists this unclassified non-coding RNA (2222 nucleotides) under Drosophila mojavensis. Its description in RNAcentral is "GI23908". The stretch from base 1310 to 1423 matches the Rfam family "Potassium channel RNA editing signal". Lineage: Eukaryota; Metazoa; Arthropoda; Insecta; Diptera; Drosophilidae. The record is from RNAcentral.